AUUGAACGCUGGCGGAAUGCUUUACACAUGCAAGUCGAGCGGCAGCGCGGGGGCAACCCUGGCGGCGAGCGGCGAACGGGUGAGUAACAUAUCGGAACGUACCCCGUCGUGGGGGAUAACACAGCGAAAGCUGUGCUAAUACCGCAUACGACCUGAGGGUGAAAGCGGGGGAUCGCAGGACCUCGCGCGAUGGGAGCGGCCGAUAUCGGAUUAGCUUGUUGGUGAGGUAAAGGCUCACCAAGGCGACGAUCCGUAGCUGGUCUGAGAGGACGACCAGCCACACUGGGACUGAGACACGGCCCAGACUCCUACGGGAGGCAGCAGUGGGGAAUUUUGGGACAAUGGGCGCAAGCCUGAUCCAGCAAUGCCGCGUGCAGGAAGAAGGCCU
This 388-nucleotide ribosomal RNA is filed under the name uncultured bacterium. RNAcentral describes it as "bacterial SSU rRNA". It matches the Rfam family "Bacterial small subunit ribosomal RNA", at positions 29 to 417 of the family's 1533-position model. The record is from RNAcentral.